Molecule: non-coding RNA, 5186 nt
Organism: Cherax quadricarinatus
Lineage: Eukaryota; Metazoa; Arthropoda; Malacostraca; Decapoda; Parastacidae
Source: RefSeq, a predicted model, not a curated record
AUAGCAAGAGAGGUUCAGUGAGGAGUGUGUCGUCUACCGCCUAGCUCUCUUUUCUGAGUAUAAUACUCCGCGACACACUCGUUAAAGUGCUGGGACCUGCUGAGAGAAACUCGUUAAAGUGCUGGGACCUGCUGAGAGAGUCGUUAAAGUGCUGGGACCUGCUGAGAGAGUCGUUAAAGUGCUGGGACCUGCUGAGAGACUCGUUAAAGUGCUGGGACCUGCUGAGAGAGUCGUUAAAGUGCUGGGACCUGCUGAGAGAGAGACUCGUUAAAGUGCUGGGACCUGCUGAGAGAGACUCGUUAAAGUGCUGGGACCUGCUGAGAGAGUCGUUAAAGUGCUUGGACCUGCUAAGAGAGACUCGUUCAAGUGCUGGGACCUGCCGAGAGACACUCGUUAAAGUGCUGAGAGAAACUCGUUCAAGUGCUGGGACCUGCAGAGAGAGAGACUCGUUAAAGUGCUGGGACCUGCUGAGAGAAACUCGUUAAAAUGCUGGGAACUUCCAGGAGACCAUGAACACCAGUCAUUGAGUAAAUUGAAUACCAUCAGGGUGACGUGUGAGAGCUGAGUGGCAGUCAGGUAGACCCAAAAGCAAGUCUUUGAAUGCAACGGUCAUCAACGUGGUGUGAAGAACAUUGAACCCAAAAUCUACAGUCAUCAACGUGGUCUGAAGAACAUUGCACCCAGAAUCUAGUCAUCAACGUGGUCUGAAGAAGACUGCACCCAAAAGCAAGUCUCUGAACACUAUAGUCAUCUCCAUGGUCCAAAGAACAGUCACAAGUCACCAAAAAUCAAUCGACUUAAACCUAGAAACAGUCGCCAGUAUCUUGGUGAUGGGAAACUGCUGUGGAAUGCAUCUCUUCAUGAGGUGGCAAAGCAAAACCCACAUGAACACCUGGCCUGAUAGUGUCUGUAACACACACCUGCUCUGAUAGUAUAUCAUCUCCACACAACUGCCCUGAUGAUGCAGCUUUGCCACAUAAUGCAGGUGAAGCACAUAUUUGGAAUACCCAAGAUUAUCAACCAGCUUCAGCAGAAAUCUGUAUCACCUAUAAUGUGAGAGACCAGCAGUGGCAACCAAACAAUUUGAAAGAUAACUCAGACAUAGCCAGAAGUCAGUUUCUGAAAGAUUCAGAUAAAAAUUUGGAGAAGAGCAUCUUGGUGGAAAGAAGCCUAGAGGAACCCGAGGUCAGUCACUGUUUAGGUUGUGUUUGGGACAGUGUUGAUAAAAGAAAUAUUAGACAAACAGCAUGUAACAUUAGUUCCGAGCCAAUGUGGCAAGAAAUAGACAUGGAAGAGUCCUUUGAUACAUAUCUGAAUGUAUCAAGGCUGGAAGCAGGGGAUUUCAGACAGGGUGUGCGUGAUUUUGCAUGUAAUAUGGAUGAGUCAUUUUUGAAUGACCAUGCAUUGUCAGUGCCUAUUGAGGUAGAGAAUAAUGUAAAGUCAUGGCACAGAGGUCUGGAUGACCUGGAAAGGAGAUCUGACAAAUAUUUUUAAUACUGUUCAAAAUUAUAAUGAUACUCUUUCAUUAGAGGAAGGGCCAGGAACAUCAUUUCUUUUUGGCAAUCACUAUUUUAAUUCUACAGAAAACAGUCAUGAGGGUGUCACUGAUUACAUAUCAGGAACAGAGCCCAAAUGCCAGGAUGAGAGCUCCUGGAAGGUUCCUUUAACAUAUUUCCUCAAAGUUGGUACACAAGUGGGCUUAAAUGUACCACCCUUGUCACACCUGCUGCUGUUAACUAAAGCUUUUCUAAUACACGAGAAAAUUUAACUUUUCAUGGAAUAAACUUUGAUAAUAGAUGUCAACAAUUGGUUCAGAGAGACAUGAGCAAACAAUAGAAAACAAUUUUGUUCUGGGGGCCUUGAUCAUGUAAAACAUAUACAUGGAUAAUAACAACAGUACCUAUAGGGAAAAAGUGAAGUUAUAUAUAAGUUUAAUAAUGUUCCCAUUUCAGUAAAAUAGGUUAAUUAUAUUAUGAAGAAACCUAAACCCAAAGGGGUCAUGCAGUGCCUUGGGAAUGAGGUGUUAAUCCAAGAAAGGCAAAAGUAGCCCAAAUUCCUUGGAUUAAGAGCUCUUUACCAGCAGCAACACACCCCAUUGAAGGACAAACUUCACAAGACACCCACGGAUCAGAAAUCAAAACUGAACACAUUUUUUCAAACAGUCCUGGACAGCUAAGUGAUGAGUGAGGAUGACAAGAGUGUUGGUUAAAAGUUGCUGAGAUAACUGAAGAUGUAAAGGUCUGAUCACAUCAUGUGUGUUUGGUAUUAAUACAGUUUUUUUUUUUUACUACACUAUAAGGGCUAAUAACCUCAUUUUCCUGUAUACAUUACUAAAUAUAAAAAAAAAAUUUUUUUUUUUUGGGUCACCCCACUUUGGUGGGAAACAGUCGGUGUAUUAAAAAAAUAUAUGGAUGUCACCCUGCCUCAGUGGGAGAUGGCCAACUUGAAAAAAAAAAAAAUGUAUAUAGGAAAACAAUAUUAUUAUAUAUUGAUGUAAUGCAGCACCUGGGUAUCAUUUAUUUUGAAGAUUUCUCAUCAACCAGUGGAAAAAUCUCUAAACACCUUCAAGACUGAUUACCUUAUCUUCACUGUCUUGUAUAUACAUUUGUACUAAAUUGAAAAAGCCACAAGUUGAUGAGAUAUCUUCUAAAUGAAGACACUCAUGUGCUGCACAUGUGUAAUUCACUAAGUAUAACAGGCACAAUACUGUGACUGGAGCAAUACACAAAUAACUCUCACAUAGUGGAGAGAGAAUCUUUUCACUCUCAUGUUCUGGUUAUUUGUUUAAGUAUAACAUAUCAUAGGUAUAUUAUUUCACAGAGUGCCAAAUCGACGUUGUCAUUCAUUAUUGGUGUGCACUCAGUGUUUUGCCAUACAGUUAACUAUUAGGAAGUGUCUUAAACUGUUCAGUAAAAUAUCAUUCAUUGUUAAAAAACCUUUAUUAGCAACUUAAUAUUAGUAGUGAAGGGCAGUUUCCCUUAUUUAGUAGAGGACCAUUAUAUAAACUGCCUUGUCUAUGCAGGCUUCACUAUUAAACUGUUUGAAGGAAGUAGAUUUGUCAGGUCAUCACUAGAACAGACAUGUUGAAAAGUCAUCCAAUCAUUUUACCAUCUUGUUUAUUUCAUCUUCAAACUAUGCACACCAGUACAUUUAGGAAUUGGAAUUGGUAAAAUGUUUUACAAUAAUAAGUCACAUGCAGGCAAUGAAUAUCUGAUCAAAAUAAAUAUAUACAUUGUGUGCAUAAUACAAUAUUUUGUUAAUCUGAAGGUUACAGGAAAGACUUUCAAAAUGCAUUUGUGUUUCAAUGACACUUUCACCAUGAUUUAUAAAAACAUUAAAACUCUCAUACAGACUAUAAGACAGAAGUCAUGGGGAGAUGUACCAUUUUGUCCUACUACAUGAAGGGUUUGUGCUGUAUGACCCUUGUAGGUUUAGCACUUCUUUUUUAUUAUAAUAAUAAUAUAUGAAGGCUGAAGUCAAAAUUGACCCAGGUACACAGUAGUCAAGAAUAUAAUAAAACUCAAACAAAGGAGUUAUUGUGGUAUAAUCAUUAAGUUCCUUAAUAUAUAAAUUCAAAUUCUUCAAUAUAACUUAUAAGUAGAGCAUGGGGAUAAUUUUAAAAUCAAUUAUGUUUAGUAAAUAAAUUUUAAUUUCAAAAUAUCUUAAAGUUGAAAAAGAGGGCUUAGGUAAUACCUGUAGAGGUUUUCAGGGGCCUGGUUUGUCACCAUACCUUGUGGAUCUGAGCUUGAUCAAUCAGUCUUGAAUUGAUAUAGUAUAAGCCACAGCAAGAGUCCUGUAUGAUAGACCUCUGUGCUCAUGUACAGUAAGGGACCUGCAUAUACAGCACCUCUUUUUCAGUGUUCCACACUAUUGUUGGCUUUCAACUGAGCCAUUGUUUACUAUAUUCGGUGCUUUUACCGCCGCUCCGAGCAUUUUCAUACAACGGUUGCCUAAGGGACAGAUGACGGCGUUGUAUGAACAGGGGGGCCUCCUGUAUUCUAAUUGAGCUUCCAAUGUAUGUAACAUUUAAUCUAGUGUAUUCAUUAGAAAAGAGGCGACAACAGGAUCCUUAUAUUUAAAAUAAUUCCCGAUGGUUAAAGAUUAGUAAAUAUGAAUCUGAGGAUAAUUUUGCAACCAUUUCAUUUUCCUCAUAUUAUUGUAUAACUAAGUUCCAAUAUUAGGAAACCAGGUUUGAAAUAGUUAUAAAAUUACCCUUGAAUUCACAUUUGUAUUAUGUCAUCUCUCUGCUCUAUUAAUUAUUUACUAAUAAACAUAUUCUCGAUAUACUGGAAGCUCGAUUAUAAACUUGUAUAGGCACAUCAUGCAAGACUUGUUAAAUUAGCUGAGCUCUGUUUUUCAACUGUAAGGUAAGUCAGUUUUGGCUCAACCCUCCAUAGGGUAACAGUAAUUAGUAUGUCUUGCUUUAUUUACUGUACAAAAUGUUCACGACUAUCUUUUAUAAGUGCUGUAAUGAAGAUAUGUGAUUCAGAAAAUGAACAAGUUGAAAAGUUAGACAUGUGCAACAUUUGGGUAUCUUUAUUGUGGAAAAGCUUUGCUUCAUCAGUCCAAUACAAAGAAGAUCAAGAAUUUGAGAUAAUCAGUCCCUUAGCCUGGAGUCAACUCCAGGCUGAGGGACUGAUUACCUCAAAGUUCUGAUCUUCACUGUUCUUUGUAUUGGUCUGAUGAAGCCUGUGUGUGUGUCAAGACACCCAACUGUUGGACGUUUUUUUACAGCUCCUGAUGGUAAUACAUUUCACCAAAAUAAUAAUAAAUGCAUUUUACAAGCAAGUCUUUCCUGCUGCCCUUGUAUAUCACACUGAAACAUUAAUAUUUUUUUCUAAUUGCUCAAUAAGUGUCAGAUUAAGACUUGCUUUAUUUAAUGGGCAGUACCACAUUGCCAUUACUCUCAGUGAACACUGACCACUGUAAAGAGAGUGUGAUACAAAUAUUAUAACGUGAGGUACCAGUGUAUGAAAGUAACGAGUAGUUAACUUUUAGCAGAUGUAAUAUUUAUUCUAGUGACAAUACGUAUUAGUUUUAAGAAUUGCUUUUUCUCGUGUAAAAUCUUUAUUACAAAAUUUUUUCCUUUGAUUUUUUUUUGUCAUGAAACUAAUUUCAAAAUUACUUUUCAGGGGUUUUAAGGGACUAAUAAUUAUCAAAAUCAAGCACUAAACCCACUAGGGUAA